AGCUCGAGUUUCUCUUCAUUGUCGCAUAAAUCUUUCGCCUUUUUACUAAAGAUUUCCGUGGAGGGAGCUUUUGCGAGUGACCUGUAUUUUUUUGGGGGCUCUGCUCACAGCAGAGCU
Molecule: small nuclear RNA, 117 nt
Organism: Cyprinus carpio carpio
Lineage: Eukaryota; Metazoa; Chordata; Actinopteri; Cypriniformes; Cyprinidae
Gene: U5
Rfam family: U5 spliceosomal RNA
About the family: U5 RNA is a component of both types of known spliceosome. The precise function of this molecule is unknown, though it is known that the 5' loop is required for splice site selection and p220 binding, and that both the 3' stem-loop and the Sm site are important for Sm protein binding and cap methylation.
Source: Ensembl